Sardina pilchardus (European sardine) is the source of this 496-nucleotide long non-coding RNA. RefSeq lists it as uncharacterized. Lineage: Eukaryota; Metazoa; Chordata; Actinopteri; Clupeiformes; Clupeidae. The record is from RefSeq and is a predicted model, not a curated record. The transcript has 3 exons.
CAACAGGGAUGUCGGUGUGCCAGGCUAGUGAGUGCUGAAGAUCUCCAGCCACAUCGGGAGCUCAGUGCAGGCCCAACCCCCUCACCAUGGAAACCCGGAAUCCCCAAUCAAGAUCGCUUCUUCGUCAGGCGGUGAUGUCUGGGGACUUUCCCACUCCCCACCUCACACCAGCGCACCCCUCUGUUGGACAGUGACCUCUCACCUUUAGGUGUGAAGGAUUCUUCCAUCAGAAGGGAUGCAGCAAGAGCGCAGACUCCCCAGUGGACUGUGAAGCCGACUGAAGAGGUUGAAGGAGAGAGGUGUGUGUCGGCGGGGGUCAAGAGAAGGACAGUCACCGACAGACCCCCAUCAGAAUGACACACACACUCAUGGGACCCAUGGAACUUAGAGAGUCUGUGCACCUGUUUCACCUGUCUGCCAGGCUAGUGAGUGCAGCCACAUCAGGAGCUCAGUGCAGCGUUCCCCAAGAUUCCCACCUGUACUCCGACUACCCCCA